RNAcentral lists this transfer RNA (71 nucleotides) under Phrynosoma platyrhinos (Desert horned lizard). Its description in RNAcentral is "tRNA-OTHER". The record is from RNAcentral. Lineage: Eukaryota; Metazoa; Chordata; Lepidosauria; Squamata; Phrynosomatidae.
GACUAUGUGGUGUAGUGGUUUGAACAUUGGACUGCAACUCUGGAGACCAGGGUUCGAUUCCUGCUCACUCA